GACGAACGCUGGCGGCGUGCUAAUACAUGCAAGUAGGACGCACAGUUUAUACCGUAGCUUGCUACACCAUAGACUGUGAGUUGCGAACGGGUGAGUAACGCGUAGGUAACCUGCCUAUUAGAGGGGGAUAACUAUUGGAAACGAUAGCUAAUACCGCAUAACAGUAUGUAACACAUGUUAGAUGCUUGAAAGAUGCAAUUGCAUCGCUAGUAGAUGGACCUGCGUUGUAUUAGCUAGUAGGUAGGGUAAUGGCCUACCUAGGCGACGAUACAUAGCCGACCUGAGAGGGUGAUCGGCCACACUGGGACUGAGACACGGCCCAGACUCCUACGGGAGGCAGCAGUAGGGAAUCUUCGGCAAUGGGGGGAACCCUGACCGAGCAACGCCGCGUGAGUGAAGAAGGUUUUCGGAUCGUAAAGCUCUGUUGUUAAGGAAGAACGAGUGUGAGAAUGGAAAGUUCAUACUGUGACGGUACUUAACCAGAAAGGGACGGCUAACUACGUGCCAGCAGCCGCGGUAAUACGUAGGUCCCGAGCGUUGUCCGGAUUUAUUGGGCGUAAAGCGAGCGCAGGCGGUUAGAAAAGUCUGAAGUGAAAGGCAGUGGCUCAACCAUUGUAGGCUUUGGAAACUGUUUAACUUGAGUGCAGAAGGGGAGAGUGGAAUUCCAUGUGUAGCGGUGAAAUGCGUAGAUAUAUGGAGGAACACCGGUGGCGAAAGCGGCUCUCUGGUCUGUAACUGACGCUGAGGCUCGAAAGCGUGGGGAGCGAACAGG
RNAcentral lists this ribosomal RNA (772 nucleotides) under Streptococcus anginosus. RNAcentral describes it as "bacterial SSU rRNA". It matches the Rfam family "Bacterial small subunit ribosomal RNA", at positions 28 to 776 of the family's 1533-position model. The record is from RNAcentral. Lineage: Bacteria; Bacillati; Bacillota; Bacilli; Lactobacillales; Streptococcaceae.